UGGGCACUCUAAGGAGACUGCCGGUGACAAACCGGAGGAAGGUGGGGAUGACGUCAAGUCAUCAUGGCCCUUACGGCCUGGGCUACACACGUGCUACAAUGGUCGGUACAAAGGGUUGCCAAGCCGCGAGGUGGAGCUAAUCCCAUAAAACCGAUUGUAGUCCGGAUCGCAGUCUGCAACUCGACUGCGUGAAGUCGGAAUCGCUAGUAAUCGUGAAUCAGAGUGUCACGGUGAAUACGUUCCCGGGCCUU
This 251-nucleotide ribosomal RNA is filed under the name uncultured Pseudomonas sp. RNAcentral's name for it is "partial 16S ribosomal RNA". It matches the Rfam family "Bacterial small subunit ribosomal RNA", at positions 1132 to 1382 of the family's 1533-position model. The record is from RNAcentral. Lineage: Bacteria; Pseudomonadati; Pseudomonadota; Gammaproteobacteria; Pseudomonadales; Pseudomonadaceae.